GAUGAAGAACGCAGCGAAAUGCGAUAAGUAAUGUGAAUUGCAGAAUUCAGUGAAUCAUCGAAUCUUUGAACGCACAUUGCGCCCCUUGGUAUUCCGAGGGGCAUGCCUGUUCGAGCGUCAUUAUAACCCCUCAAGCUCAGCUUGGUGUUGGGGCCUGCUGCACUGGCAGCCCUUAAAAUCAGUGGCGGCGCCAUCUGGCUCUAAGCGUAGUAAUUCUUCUCGCUAUGGAGUCCUGGUGGAUGCUUGCCAUCAACCCCCAAUUUUUCUAUGGUUGACCUCGGAUCAGGUAGGGAUACCCGCUGAACUUAAGCAUAUCUAACGGAGGA
RNAcentral lists this unclassified non-coding RNA (326 nucleotides) under soil metagenome. RNAcentral's name for it is "partial contains 5.8S ribosomal RNA, internal transcribed spacer 2, and large subunit ribosomal RNA". The stretch from base 1 to 120 matches the Rfam family "5.8S ribosomal RNA", at positions 35 to 154 of the family's 154-position model. The record is from RNAcentral.